This 132-nucleotide small nucleolar RNA is filed under the name Leptosomus discolor (cuckoo roller). RNAcentral describes it as "Small nucleolar RNA SNORA31". It matches the Rfam family "Small nucleolar RNA SNORA31". From Rfam's summary of the family: ACA31 (SNORA31) belongs to the H/ACA class of snoRNAs which are thought to guide the sites of modification of uridines to pseudouridines. ACA31 is predicted to guide the pseudouridylation of U3713 in 28S rRNA and U218 in 18S rRNA. Lineage: Eukaryota; Metazoa; Chordata; Aves; Leptosomiformes; Leptosomidae. The record is from Rfam by way of RNAcentral.
AUGCAUCUGGCAGACCUGGGGCAACUGGCCAUUGCUCCUCUGGUUCUUGCCGAGAUGCAACAGCAACGGGUCCCUUGCGCUUUCUGCCUGUCUGACCUCGUGGCAGUCCGGAUUGAAUAAAGGAAGACAAAA